Molecule: ribosomal RNA, 492 nt
Filed under: uncultured bacterium
Lineage: Bacteria
Description: partial 16S ribosomal RNA
Rfam family: Bacterial small subunit ribosomal RNA
Source: RNAcentral
AGUGAACGCUGGCGGUAGGCCUAACACAUGCAAGUCGAACGGCAGCACAGUAAGAGCUUGCUCUUACGGGUGGCGAGUGGCGGACGGGUGAGGAAUACAUCGGAAUCUACUUUUUCGUGGGGGAUAACGUAGGGAAACUUACGCUAAUACCGCAUACGACCUACGGGUGAAAGCAGGGGAUCUUCGGACCUUGCGCGAUUGAAUGAGCCGAUGUCGGAUUAGCUAGUUGGCGGGGUAAAGGCCCACCAAGGCGACGAUCCGUAGCUGGUCUGAGAGGAUGAUCAGCCACGCUGGAACUGAGACACGGUCCAGACUCCUACGGGAGGCAGCAGUGGGGAAUAUUGGACAAUGGGCGCAAGCCUGAUCCAGCCGUACCGCGUGGGUGAAGAAGGCCUUCGGGUUGUAAAGCCCUUUUGUUGGGAAAGAAAAGCAGCAGGUUAAUACCCCGCUGUUCUGACGGUACCCAAAGAAUAAGCACCGGCUAACUUCGUG